UAGGGAAUCUUCCACAAUGGACGAAAGUCUGAUGGAGCAACGCCGCGUGAGUGAAGAAGGUUUUCGGAUCGUAAAGCUCUGUUGUUGGUGAAGAAGGAUAGAGGCAGUAACUGGUCUUUAUUUGACGGUAAUCAACCAGAAAGUCACGGCUAACUACGUGCCAGCAGCCGCGGUAAUACGUAGGUGGCAAGCGUUGUCCGGAUUUAUUGGGCGUAAAGCGAGCGCAGGCGGAAUGAUAAGUCUGAUGUGAAAGCCCACGGCUCAACCGUGGAACUGCAUCGGAAACUGUCAUUCUUGAGUGCAGAAGAGGAGAGUGGAACUCCAUGUGUAGCGGUGGAAUGCGUAGAUAUAUGGAAGAACACCAGUGGCGAAGGCGGCUCUCUGGUCUGCAACUGACGCUGAGGCUCGAAAGCAUGGGUAGCGAACAGGAUUAGAUACCCUGGUAGUCCAUGCCGUAAACGAUGAGCGCUAGGUGUUGGGGACUUUCCGGUCCUCAGUGCCGCAGCAAACGCAUUAAGCGCUCCGCCUGGGGAGUACGACCGCAAGGUUGAA
RNAcentral lists this ribosomal RNA (552 nucleotides) under uncultured bacterium. RNAcentral's name for it is "partial 16S ribosomal RNA". It matches the Rfam family "Bacterial small subunit ribosomal RNA", at positions 355 to 898 of the family's 1533-position model. The record is from RNAcentral.